RNAcentral lists this ribosomal RNA (253 nucleotides) under uncultured bacterium. RNAcentral's name for it is "partial 16S ribosomal RNA". It matches the Rfam family "Bacterial small subunit ribosomal RNA", at positions 524 to 776 of the family's 1533-position model. The record is from RNAcentral.
UACAGAGGGUGCAAGCGUUAAUCGGAAUUAUUGGGCGUAAAGGGCUUGUAGGUUGUUAUUUAAGUUAGAUGUGAAAUCCCUGGGCUUAACCUGGGACGUGCAUAUAAGACUGGAUGACUAGAGUAUGGUAGAGGAGAGGGGAAUUCCUGGUGUAGCAGUGAAAUGCGUAGAGAUCAGGAGGAACAUCAGUGGCGAAGGCGCCUCUCUGGACUAAUACUGACACUGAGGAGCGAAGGCGUGGGGAUCAAACAGG